GCAAGUCGAACGAGAAAGUUUCCUUCGGGAAGCGAGUAGAGUGGCGCACGGGUGAGUAACACGUGGAUAACCUGCCCUAUGAUCUGGGAUAACCCACCGAAAGGAGGGCUAAUACCGAAUAAGCCCACAGAGACUUCGGUCUCCGUGGGAAAAGAUUUAUCGUCAUAGGAUGGGUCCGCGGCCCAUUAGCUAGUUGGUAGGGUAAUGGCCUACCAAGGCUACGAUGGGUAGCUGGUCUGAGAGGAUGAUC
Molecule: ribosomal RNA, 250 nt
Filed under: uncultured bacterium
Lineage: Bacteria
Description: partial 16S ribosomal RNA
Rfam family: Bacterial small subunit ribosomal RNA
Source: RNAcentral